This 465-nucleotide ribosomal RNA is filed under the name Vreelandella stevensii. RNAcentral's name for it is "partial 16S ribosomal RNA". It matches the Rfam family "Bacterial small subunit ribosomal RNA", at positions 338 to 795 of the family's 1533-position model. Lineage: Bacteria; Pseudomonadati; Pseudomonadota; Gammaproteobacteria; Oceanospirillales; Halomonadaceae. The record is from RNAcentral.
CCUACGGGUGGCUGCAGUGGGGAAUAUUGGACAAUGGGCGAAAGCCUGAUCCAGCCAUGCCGCGUGUGUGAAGAAGGCCUUCGGGUUGUAAAGCACUUUCAGUGGGGAAGAAAGCCUUGGGGCUAAUACCCUCGAGGAAGGACAUCACCCACAGAAGAAGCACCGGCUAACUCCGUGCCAGCAGCCGCGGUAAUACGGAGGGUGCGAGCGUUAAUCGGAAUUACUGGGCGUAAAGCGCGCGUAGGCGGUCUGAUAAGCCGGUUGUGAAAGCCCCGGGCUCAACCUGGGAACGGCAUCCGGAACUGUCAGGCUAGAGUGCAGGAGAGGAAGGUAGAAUUCCCGGGUUAGCGGUGAAAUGCGUAGAGAUCGGGAGGAAUACCAGUGGCGAAGGCGGCCUCCUGGACUGACACUGACGCUGAGGUGCGAAAGCGUGGGUAGCAAACAGGAUUAGAUACCCGGGUAGUC